Molecule: ribosomal RNA, 840 nt
Filed under: Fusarium oxysporum
Lineage: Eukaryota; Fungi; Ascomycota; Sordariomycetes; Hypocreales; Nectriaceae
Description: SSU rRNA
Rfam family: Eukaryotic small subunit ribosomal RNA
Source: RNAcentral
UAAUUCCAGCUCCAAUAGGGUAUAUUAAAGUUGUUGUGGUUAAAAAGCUCGUAGUUGAACCUUGGGCCUGGCUGGCCGGGUCCGCCUCACCGCGUGUACUGGUCCGGCCGGGCCUUUCCCUCUGUGGAACCCCAUGCCCUUCACUGGGUGUGGCGGGGAAACAGGACUUUUACUGUGAAAAAAUUAGAGUGCUCCAGGCAGGCCUAUGCUCGAAUACAUUAGCAUGGAAUAAUAGAAUAGGACGUGUGGUUCUAUUUUGUUGGUUUCUAGGACCGCCGUAAUGAUUAAUAGGGACAGUCGGGGGCAUCAGUAUUCAAUUGUCAGAGGUGAAAUUCUUGGAUUUAUUGAAGACUAACUACUGCGAAAGCAUUUGCCAAGGAUGUUUUCAUUAAUCAGGAACGAAAGUUAGGGGAUCGAAGACGAUCAGAUACCGUCGUAGUCUUAACCAUAAACUAUGCCGACUAGGGAUCGGACGGUGUUAUUUUUUGACCCGUUCGGCACCUUACGAGAAAUCAAAGUGCUUGGGCUCCAGGGGGAGUAUGGUCGCAAGGCUGAAACUUAAAGAAAUUGACGGAAGGGCACCACCAGGGGUGGAGCCUGCGGCUUAAUUUGACUCAACACGGGGAAACUCACCAGGUCCAGACACAAUGAGGAUUGACAGAUUGAGAGCUCUUUCUUGAUUUUGUGGGUGGUGGUGCAUGGCCCGUCUUAGUUGGUGGAGUGAUUUGUCUGCUUAAUUGCGAUAACGAACGAAACCUUAACCUGCUAAAUAACCCGUAUUGGUUUUGCAAGUACGCUGGCUUCUUUAAAAGGACUAUUGGCUUAAGCCCAUUGGAAUUU